CGAACGCUGGCGGCGUGCUUAACACAUGCAAGUCGAACGCGAAAGGGACUUCGGUCCUGAGUAAGUGGCGCACGGGUGAGUAACGCGUAGAUAACCUGUCUUCAUGUCUGGAAUAAUACGCCGAAAGGGGUACUAAUACCGGAUAUUCUUGCUUUUCAUAAGUUAUGCAAGCAAAGGUGGCCUCUGCAUAUGCUACUGCAUGAAGAGGGGUCUGCGUACCAUUAGCUAGUAGGUGGGGUAAUGGCCUACCUAGGCGACGAUGGUUAGCGGGUCUGAGAGGAUGAUCCGCCACACUGGCACUGGAACACGGGCCAGACUCCUACGGGAGGCAGCAGUGAGGAAUAUUGCGCAAUGGGGGAAACCCUGACGCAGCGACGCCGCGUGAGUGAAGGAAGGCCUUCGGGUCGUAAAGCUCUGUCAAGAGGAAAGAAGUGUACAAUGGCUAAUACCUGUUGUAUUUGACGGUACCUCUAAAGGAAGCACCGGCUAACUCCGUGCCAGCAGCCGC
Molecule: ribosomal RNA, 508 nt
Filed under: uncultured bacterium
Lineage: Bacteria
Description: bacterial SSU rRNA
Rfam family: Bacterial small subunit ribosomal RNA
Source: RNAcentral